Molecule: long non-coding RNA, 326 nt
Organism: Oreochromis aureus
Lineage: Eukaryota; Metazoa; Chordata; Actinopteri; Cichliformes; Cichlidae
Source: Ensembl
CCAUGAUGUUGUCAUAGCAACAAAGCACGGUAGCGCUAAUGCUAGGAUGGCUCCUUCAGGAGCAGUACUGCUGGCUCAGAUUACAGGAGCACAAAUCAGCAAUUUCUGCUUUUCUCAGAGACCAAACAGGCCAAACAGUGCAGUUCGUGGUCGGACAACGGCAGUUUAUGGUGCCGUUCAGACUGAAAAGGCACAGGAGGUGGAUCGCGCUCAGAUCCAGCAGCUGCGGGAGCGAUGUGAGCGGCAGGCCCUGCAGCUACAGACUCUGCAGGCUCAGUUAAAGAAAGCCUCGCUGUGCCUGGAUGUUUUCAGCAUCACUACCCAGC